GUUUCUGUAGGUGAACCUGCUGCUGGAUCAUUACA
This 35-nucleotide ribosomal RNA is filed under the name Pratylenchus speijeri. Its description in RNAcentral is "partial 18S ribosomal RNA". The record is from RNAcentral. Lineage: Eukaryota; Metazoa; Nematoda; Chromadorea; Rhabditida; Pratylenchidae.